RNAcentral lists this ribosomal RNA (644 nucleotides) under uncultured archaeon Cas14#1. RNAcentral's name for it is "bacterial SSU rRNA". It matches the Rfam family "Archaeal small subunit ribosomal RNA", at positions 174 to 815 of the family's 1478-position model. The record is from RNAcentral.
AAUNCUUUAUGCGUCAAAAGGAUUCGUCUGCCCAAGGAUGGGUCUGCGGCCUAUCAGGUAGUAGUGGGUGUAAUGUACCUACUAGCCAGCGACGGGUACGGGUUGUGAGAGCAAGAGCCCGGAGAUGGAUUCUGAGACAUGAAUCCAGGCCCUACGGGGCGCAGCAGGCGCGAAAACUUUACAAUGCGGGAAACCGUGAUAAGGGGACACCGAGUGCCAGCAUCAUAUGCUGGCUGUCCGGAUGUGUAAAAUACAUCCGUUAGCAAGGGCCGGGCAAGACCGGUGCCAGCCGCCGCGGUAACACCGGCGGCCCGAGUGGUGAUCGUGAUUAUUGGGUCUAAAGGGUCCGUAGCCGGUUUGGUCAGUCCUCCGGGAAAUCUGAUAGCUCAACUAUUAGGCUUUCGGGGGAUACUGCCAGACUUGGAACCGGGAGAGGUAAGAGGUACUACAGGGGUAGGAGUGAAAUCUUGUAAUCCCUGUGGGACCACCUGUGGCGAAGGCGUCUUACCAGAACGGGUCCGACGGUGAGGGACGAAAGCUGGGGGCACGAACCGGAUUAGAUACCCGGGUAGUCCCAACCGUAAACGAUGCUCGCUANGUGUCAGGCAUGGCGCCACCGUUGUCUGGUGCCGCAAGGAAACCGU